ACGCCUCCCUGGACAGCCCGUUCCAAUAUCUCACUACUCUUUCUGAGAAAAGUUUCUUCUAACAUCUAACCUGAAUUUCUUCUGGCACAACAUAAAACCAUUACCUCUCAUCCUAUUGCUGUUAGUUGGGAAAAAAGGCUGGCCCCCACCUCAUCUCAAUCUCCUUUCAGGGAGUUGAAGACAGUGAUAAGGUCUCCCCUGAGCCUCCUCCAGACUGAACAAUCCCAGUUCCUUCAGCCAUUGCACAUAAGACUUUUGUUUCAGACCCCACUGCAGCUUUGUUGCCCUUCUCCGGACACAUUCCAGGGCCUCAACAUCUUUCUUGCAGUAAGGAACCCAAACUGAACACGGUGCUCAAGGUGCAGCCUCACCAGAGCUGAAUAAAUAGGGAUGAUCACUUCCCUGCUCCUGCUGGCAUCGCCAUCAGCCUAUUUGUCCACCUGGGCACACUGCUGGAUCAUGUUCAGCUGAACAUUGACCAGCACAUCCAGAUCCUUUUCCUCUGUGCAGCUUUCCAGUCACUCUGACCCAAGCCUGUAGCAUUCGAUGAGGUUGUUGUGACCAAAGCACAGGGCCCAAACAAGGCAAGGAUCAGUGAGAAAGCCACAGUUUAAAAGCAAUUCUAAAUGAAAAGGAGGGACAACUCUCAAUUCUAGCUCUAGUUAUCCUUCCAGGGGAGUGACAGCUUUCAAGUAAGACUGCCAGCAAACACUACCUUCCUUCACAGCAAUGCCAUAAAAUGAAUGAGAGCCACAUACACACCUGGCUAUGAAUCAUCUAUCUGCAGCAUUUCCUACUGUUCUGGAAACACAAUUUUCUGCACCUUGAAAGGCAGAAAGCAUGAAAGAAAAGGAUCAGUUUAAACUUAAAAAUACGAGUCAAUGUGUGACCUUCCAAAGCCUCUCUCCUCACUGAUCUCACGCUAUGCUGGCACAGCGGGAGCUGAGCUCACCUCUCCACACAACUUCUGAUCCAGAAUCCUUCGUCACCGUGCAUAAGCUCCAAGUGGGAUGAAAGAUAGACCAAUAGAGAAAUGAGGGCACUGUACUGGUACAAGAAAUGUCUCUGGAGUCAUAAAUACAGUUAAGGAAACAGCUUCCACUCUGAA
Molecule: long non-coding RNA, 1108 nt
Organism: Gallus gallus (chicken)
Lineage: Eukaryota; Metazoa; Chordata; Aves; Galliformes; Phasianidae
Exons: 3
Source: RefSeq, a predicted model, not a curated record